RNAcentral lists this ribosomal RNA (486 nucleotides) under uncultured bacterium. RNAcentral's name for it is "bacterial SSU rRNA". It matches the Rfam family "Bacterial small subunit ribosomal RNA", at positions 29 to 507 of the family's 1533-position model. The record is from RNAcentral.
AUUGAACGCUAGCGGCAUGCCUUACACAUGCAAGUCGAACGGCAGCACGGGGGGCAACCCUGGUGGCGAGUGGCGAACGGGUGAGUAAUGCAUCGGAACGUGCCCAUCGAUGGGGGAUAACUGCGCGAAAGCGUUGCUAAUACCGCAUACGACCUACGGGUGAAAGCAGGGGACCGCAAGGCCUUGCGUCGAUGGAGCGGCCGAUGCCGGAUUAGCUAGUUGGUGAGGUAAAGGCUCACCAAGGCGACGAUCCGUAGCUGGUCUGAGAGGACGACCCAGCCACACUGGGACUGAGACACGGCCCAGACUCCUACGGGAGGCAGCAGUGGGGAAUCUUGGACAAUGGGCAAAAGCCUGAUCCAGCAAUGCCGCGUGUGGGAAGAAGGCCUUCGGGUUGUAAACCACUUUUGGCGGGAAAGAAAUGGUCUGUGCUAAUACCACGGAUUGAUGACGGUACCCGCAGAAUAAGCACCGGCUAACUACGUG